AAAGGUCACCGUGAAUCGUGGCCUGAUGCGGUAGAUCGCCUGAUCCGCUACAUCCUUGUACCUCGCUUCCUCCUUGCAAUCACAGCCACCACCGCUCGUCCAUCACAGUGUCGUAGGGAGUCAGUCGAGAUGUCCAACAUCGAACGCGAAAAUGGUGUCGUGAAGUGGUUCAACGAUGCCAAGGGCUUUGGGUUCAUCAGCCGCGAAAAUGGCGAAGACGUCUUCGUGCAUUUCCGCGCGAUCCAGAUCCAGGGCUUCAAGAGUCUCAAGGAAGGUCAGAAGGUCAGCUUCACGGUCGUGCAAGGCCAGAAGGGCCUGCAGGCCGAUGCAGUGCAGGUGGUCUGAGCCGCUGCGCCAAGCGCAUCAGCCACGCAACAAAAAGGCCCGUCACCGGGCCUUUUUGUUG
RNAcentral lists this unclassified non-coding RNA (406 nucleotides) under Xanthomonas phaseoli pv. phaseoli. Its description in RNAcentral is "cspA". The record is from RNAcentral. Lineage: Bacteria; Pseudomonadati; Pseudomonadota; Gammaproteobacteria; Lysobacterales; Lysobacteraceae.